Molecule: ribosomal RNA, 456 nt
Filed under: Salmonella enterica subsp. enterica serovar Enteritidis
Lineage: Bacteria; Pseudomonadati; Pseudomonadota; Gammaproteobacteria; Enterobacterales; Enterobacteriaceae
Description: bacterial LSU rRNA
Rfam family: Bacterial large subunit ribosomal RNA
Source: RNAcentral
ACGGCGGGUGCUAACGUCCGUCGUGAAGAGGGAAACAACCCAGACCGCCAGCUAAGGUCCCAAAGUCAUGGUUAAGUGGGAAACGAUGUGGGAAGGCCCAGACAGCCAGGAUGUUGGCUUAGAAGCAGCCAUCAUUUAAAGAAAGCGUAAUAGCUCACUGGUCGAGUCGGCCUGCGCGGAAGAUGUAACGGGGCUAAACCAUGCACCGAAGCUGCGGCAGCGACGCUUAUGCGUUGUUGGGUAGGGGAGCGUUCUGUAAGCCUGCGAAGGUGGCCUGUGAGGGUUGCUGGAGGUAUCAGAAGUGCGAAUGCUGACAUAAGUAACGAUAAAGCGGGUGAAAAGCCCGCUCGCCGGAAGACCAAGGGUUCCUGUCCAACGUUAAUCGGGGCAGGGUGAGUCGACCCCUAAGGCGAGGCCGAAAGGCGUAGUCGAUGGGAAACGGGUUAAUAUUCCCGU